Non-coding RNA from Pelobates cultripes (western spadefoot toad), 246 nucleotides. The record is from the annotation of a GenBank genome assembly. NCBI's taxonomy places the organism in Eukaryota, Metazoa, Chordata, Amphibia, Anura, Pelobatidae.
GGGACACUGAGACAAUAGGGGACAUAUGGGGACACUGGGACACUAGGGGACACAGACACUAGGGGACACAUGGGGACACAGAAACUAGGGGACACUGAGACACUAAGACACAGACACUGGGAGACCUGGGAACACUGAGACACUUGGGGACACUGGAAAACAUGGGGACACUGGGACACUAGGGAACACUGAGACACUAGGGGACAUAUGGGGACACUGAGACACUAGGGGGCACAUGGGGACACA